GCAGGGGAUCUUCGGACCUCGCGCGAUAGGGGCGGCCGAUGUCGGAUUAGCUAGUUGGUAGGGUAAAGGCCUACCAAGGCGACGAUCGGUAGCUGGUCUGAGAGGACGAUCAGCCACACUGGGACUGAGACACGGUCCAGACUCCUACGGGAGGCAGCAGUGGGGAAUUUUGGACAAUGGGGGCAACCCUGAUCCAGCAAUGCCGCGUGUGUGAAGAAGGCCUUCGGGUUGUAAAGCACUUUUAUUAGGAAAGAAAUCGUUCUGGCUAAUAUCCGGGGGGGAUGACGGUACCGGAAGAAUAAGCACCGGCUAACUUCGUGCCAGCAGCCGCGGUAAUACGAAGGGUGCGAGCGUUAAUCGGAAUUACUGGGCGUAAAGCGUGCGCAGGCGGUUAGUUAAGUCGGAUGUGAAAUCCCCGGGCUCAACCUGGGAAUGGCAUUGGAUACUGGCAAGCUAGAGUAUGAUAGAGGGGGGUGGAAUUCCCGGUGUAGCAGUGAAAUGCGUAGAGAUGGGGAGGAACAUCGAUGGCGAAGGCAGCC
Molecule: ribosomal RNA, 539 nt
Filed under: Burkholderia sp.
Lineage: Bacteria; Pseudomonadati; Pseudomonadota; Betaproteobacteria; Burkholderiales; Burkholderiaceae
Description: bacterial SSU rRNA
Rfam family: Bacterial small subunit ribosomal RNA
Source: RNAcentral